This 467-nucleotide ribosomal RNA is filed under the name uncultured bacterium. RNAcentral describes it as "partial 16S ribosomal RNA". It matches the Rfam family "Bacterial small subunit ribosomal RNA", at positions 28 to 507 of the family's 1533-position model. The record is from RNAcentral.
GACGAACGCUGGCGGCGUGCUUAACACAUGCAAGUCGAACGGAAAGGCCCUGCUUUUGUGGGUGCUCGAGUGGCGAACGGGGGAGUAACACGUGAGUAACCUGCCCUUGACUUUGGGAUAACUUCAGGAAACUGGGGCUAAUACCGGAUAGGAGCUCCCGCUGCAUGGUGGGGGUUGGAAAGUUUCGGCGGUUGGGGAUGGACUCGCGGCUUAUCAGCUUGUUGGUGGGGUAGUGGCUUACCAAGGCUUUGACGGGUAGCCGGCCUGAGAGGGUGACCGGCCACAUUGGGACUGAGAUACGGCCCAGACUCCUACGGGAGGCAGCAGUGGGGAAUAUUGCACAAUGGGCGGAAGCCUGAUGCAGCAACGCCGCGUGCGGGAUGACGGCCUUCGGGUUGUAAACCGCUUUCGCCUGUGACGAAGCGUGAGUGACGGUAAUGGGUAAAGAAGCACCGGCUAACUACGUG